Long non-coding RNA from Musa acuminata subsp. malaccensis (wild Malaysian banana), 597 nucleotides. RefSeq lists it as uncharacterized. Lineage: Eukaryota; Viridiplantae; Streptophyta; Magnoliopsida; Zingiberales; Musaceae. The record is from RefSeq and is a predicted model, not a curated record.
UAUUCCCCAACCGCAACGCGUCUCAUUCCUUCUCAUCAAUCGGAAGUCUCCUCGCCCGGAGAAAGAAAGCAUCAAAGUCUACCCCUCUCUCUCUCUCUCUCGUCUCUCUCCGUCUCUCUCCCCCAUGGAUCUAUUCAAACCCUAUUUACACCAUGAAUCUUUCGAGAGGGUUUCGCCAGAGGCCAAACCCGAUCAAGAAAGAGCUCAUCAACAGGUUUCGGUCGGUGGUCAAUGAUGAUGGAUCAUCAGCAAUAGCGUGGUCGAUUUUGUUAAGUCAAAAUGCCGCUGCCGGAAGGAGUUCCCCAUUUCCCACCGAUGUAGAGAUGCAGCUACUUUUGACGGAACAUUUUAUCCCUUGUUGUGUUUGGAGUUGGAAAGUAAGUCUCAGAAAACCGUACAAGCUUCUCUUCUUUUUUUAUCCGCAAGAUGAGCAACACAUAUAUCAUCAAAAUGUGAGAGGACUAUCAGAUACAAACUCCUCUCUUCCCAAGUGCUUUAUCAUAUGGGCCAUACCUUACCGGGUAGCCACGAGGCUAACGUCACCUAUUGUAUCUAUAUUUUAUCCCAAAAGAAAAAGAAAAUAUUGAUUCUCGUGAA